AGAGUUUGAUCAUGGCUCAGGAUGAACGCUGGCGGCGUGCCUAAUACAUGCAAGUCGAGCGAACCACUUCGGUGGUGAGCGGCGAACGGGUGAGUAACACGUAGGUGAUCUGCCCAUCAGACGGGGACAACGAUUGGAAACGAUCGCUAAUACCGGAUAGGACGAAAGUUUAAAGGUGCUUCUGGCACCGCUGAUGGAUGAGCCUGCGGCGCAUUAGCUAGUUGGUAGGGUAAAGGCCUACCAAGGCGACGAUGCGUAGCCGACCUGAGAGGGUGAACGGCCACACUGGGACUGAGACACGGCCCAGACUCCUACGGGAGGCAGCAGUAGGGAAUCUUCGGCAAUGGGCGAAAGCCUGACCGAGCAACGCCGCGUGAAUGAUGAAGGCCUUCGGGUUGUAAAAUUCUGUUAUAAGGGAAGAACGACUUUAGUAGGAAAUGGCUAGAGUGUGACGGUACCUUAUGAGAAAGCCACGGCUAACUACGUGCCAGCAGCCGCGGUAAUACGUAGGUGGCGAGCGUUAUCCGGAAUUAUUGGGCGUAAAGAGCGCGCAGGUGGUUGAUUAAGUCUGAUGUGAAAGCCCACGGCUUAACCGUGGAGGGUCAUUGGAAACUGGUCGACUUGAGUGCAGAAGAGGGAAGUGGAAUUCCAUGUGUAGCGGUGAAAUGCGUAGAGAUAUGGAGGAACGCCAGUGGCGAAGGCGGCUUCCUGGUCUGUAACUGACACUGAGGCGCGAAAGCGUGGGGAGCAAACAGGAUUAGAUACCCUGGUAGUCCACGCCGUAAACGAUGAGUGCUAAGUGUUGGGGGUCGAACCUCAGUGCUGAAGUUAACGCAUUAAGCACUCCGCCUGGGGAGUACGGUCGCAAGACUGAAACUCAAAGGAAUUGACGG
This 893-nucleotide ribosomal RNA is filed under the name uncultured bacterium. RNAcentral describes it as "bacterial SSU rRNA". It matches the Rfam family "Bacterial small subunit ribosomal RNA", at positions 8 to 916 of the family's 1533-position model. The record is from RNAcentral.